CCUACGGGAGGCAGCAGUGGGGAAUAUUACACAAUGGAGGAAACUCUGAUGUAGCAACGCCGCGUGGAGGAUGACACAUUUCGGUGCGUAAACUCCUUUUAUGUGAGAAGAUAAUGACGGUAUCACAUGAAUAAGCACCGGCUAACUCCGUGCCAGCAGCCGCGGUAAUACGGAGGGUGCAAGCGUUACUCGGAAUCACUGGGCGUAAAGCGCGCGCAGGCGGCUUUGUAAGUUGGAUGUGAAAUCCUAUGGCUCAACCAUAGAACUGCAUCCAAAACUACUUAGCUAGAGUCUGGGAGGGGAAGAUGGAAUUAGUGGUGUAGGGGUAAAAUCCGUAGAGAUCACUAGGAAUACCAAAAGCGAAGGCGAUCUUCUGGAACAGUACUGACGCUGAGGCGCGAAAGCGUGGGGAGCAAACAGGAUUAGAUACCCCAGUAGU
RNAcentral lists this ribosomal RNA (439 nucleotides) under uncultured Sulfurovum sp. RNAcentral's name for it is "bacterial SSU rRNA". It matches the Rfam family "Bacterial small subunit ribosomal RNA", at positions 338 to 794 of the family's 1533-position model. The record is from RNAcentral. Lineage: Bacteria; Pseudomonadati; Campylobacterota; Epsilonproteobacteria; Campylobacterales; Sulfurovaceae.